GACGAACGCUGGCGGCGUGCUUAACACAUGCAAGUCGAACGGAAAGGCCCUGCUUUUGUGGGGUGCUCGAGUGGCGAACGGGUGAGUAACACGUGUGUAACCUGCCCUUGACUUUGGGAUAACUUCAGGAAACUGGGGCUAAUACCGGAUAGGAGCCCCUGCUGCAUGGUGGGGGUUGGAAAGUCUCGGCGGUUGGGGAUGGAUUCGCGGCUUAUCAGCUUGCUGGUGGGGUAGUGGCUUACCAAGGCUUUGACUGGUAGCCGGCCUGGGAGGGUGACCGGGCACAUUGGGACUGCGAUACGGCCCAGACUCCUACAGGGGGCAGCAGGGGGGAAUAUUGCACAAUGGGCCGGAGCCUGAUGCAGCAGCGCCGCGGUCGGGAUGACGGCCUUCGGGUUGUAAACCGCUUUCGCCUGUGACGAAGCGUGAGUGACGGUAAUGGGUAAAGAAGCACCGGCUAACUACGUG
This 468-nucleotide ribosomal RNA is filed under the name uncultured bacterium. RNAcentral describes it as "partial 16S ribosomal RNA". It matches the Rfam family "Bacterial small subunit ribosomal RNA", at positions 28 to 507 of the family's 1533-position model. The record is from RNAcentral.